RNAcentral lists this ribosomal RNA (500 nucleotides) under uncultured bacterium. RNAcentral's name for it is "partial 16S ribosomal RNA". It matches the Rfam family "Bacterial small subunit ribosomal RNA", at positions 28 to 507 of the family's 1533-position model. The record is from RNAcentral.
GACGAACGCUGGCGGCGUGCCUAAUACAUGCCAGUCGAGCGGACUGAUUAAGAGCUUGCUCUUAUGACGUUAGCGGCGGACGGGUGAGUAACACGUGGGCAACCUGCCCUGUAGAUCGGGAUAACACCGAGAAAUCGGUGCUAAUACCGGGUAAUAUCUGAGAUCACAUGAUCUUAGGUUAAAAGAUGGCUCCGGCUAUCACUACAGGAUGGGCCCGCGGCGCAUUAGCUAGUUGGUAAGGUAAUGGCUUACCAAGGCGACGAUGCGUAGCCGACCUGAGAGGGUGAUCGGCCACACUGGGACUGAGACACGGCCCAGACUCCUACGGGAGGCAGCAGUAGGGAAUCUUCCGCAAUGGACGAAAGUCUGACGGAGCAACGCCGCGUGAGUGAUGAAGGGUUUCGGCUCGUAAAGCUCUGUUGUUAGGGAAGAAACAGUACCGAACGAACUAGGUCGGUACCUUGACGGUACCUAACCAGAAAGCCACGGCUAACUACGUG